Molecule: ribosomal RNA, 311 nt
Filed under: uncultured eukaryote
Lineage: Eukaryota
Description: partial 18S ribosomal RNA
Rfam family: Eukaryotic small subunit ribosomal RNA
Source: RNAcentral
CCCCUAGACGUUCUGGGCUGCACGCGCGCUACAAUAAUACGCACAGCGAGUAUCACCGAGCUCGAAAGGGCAAGGUAAACAAUAGAAAAGGUACUGUAAUGGUUAUAGAUCCUUGUAAUUAUUGAUCUUCAACGAGGAAUUCCUAGUAAGUAUGUGUCAUCAUCACGCACUGAUUACGUCCCUGCCCUUUGUACACACCGCCCGUCGCUCCUACCGAUUGAGUGAGCCGAUGAAACUGUCGGAUGUGGACUAUUCAUAGUCUGCAGAAGAUAUUUGAAUCGUAGCGCUUAGAGGAAGGAGAAGUCGUAACA